AACCCUUUAUUUAGUAGCAAGCUAUGGCUGAGACCUCAUUCAUAAGGAGAACCACCACAUUAUGCUCACUCAUCAUCAUAGCUCUGGCGGUGGUGGUGAUGGUGGUGAUGCUUCCUAGACUUCUUCUCCUCAUCAUCAUCGGAGUUGUCAUCUCCCUGACAAUUCAAAAAUGUAAUCAGAAUAAUUAAAGGACAAAUUUAUGAUCAUAUAACAUAAACAACCAUCUCACAUUCUUUUCCAACAUGAUUUUACAACAUGCAUGGGAUGUAUGAAAUGAAAAAUAGUUCUCCAAUAAUAGGUCCAUGCCAGAAAAUUGUGCUAAUCAAAAGCACAGCUGUAUUAAUGGGUUUUGCACUUCCAUGAUAAGAGAAGUACACAUGAGGAUAGGUUUUAUAAGAAAAUAGAAAAAGUUGUAUAACUCAACCAAGGUGCAAUGUUAAAAUGUGCAGGCGCCAUGGAGGCCUUCAUGUUUAUAUGGGCCUAACUUCUGUGUCUUAGACUGCAAGUACUCCUUGAAACAAUUAGCAACCCUUGGAACAGUAAACAUUCCUUGAGAGGCAGGAUGGCAAUUCUGUGGCUUUCCUUAUAGCAGGGCAAAGAAACACCAGCACAAACAUAAUCCGGGAUGAUUAUUUUAUAUAUCUUUAUAAAUGACAUUACAAACUAAGGGCUCUUAAGAAUUUGGGUCCAAGAUGGGUAUGAAUGUAUCCAUGCCCAAAUCCUAUUUUUUCUCAGCAGUUCUCAAAGCCUGCAGGAUCCAUUUACAAGUAUGAAACCAUUUCCUCAUGCCACAUCCUUUCACACACCCAUUCAUUGAAUAGGUUUUAGGACUGGCAAACCAGAUGACAACUUACAAUUGCAAUACCUCAUAGUCUGAUUGUGCAAAACAAUUAAAUAAUGACCCAAAAAGAAGGAAUGAGAGAGGGAAACCUCUUAUGCCAUUACAAGUUUUAAGUAGGGAAAGACUAGAUGUUCAGUAAAAUGAGGAAGCAGGAAACAACAAUGGUAAGAGAGGAGAUGAAGGUUUUCCUUUCCUUUUUUAAGUGGAUGGCAUCAAAAAGCCAAGAAAAGGUAUUCCACUCUGAUUUCAGCAUAAAUUUAUCACGUUUCUUAUAUUAAAAUAAGAGUUAUGUAAACAAGGGUAAUAAAAAAACAUAAAAAGGUUAAACAUGAACUCAUUUCAACAGAACAGUUAUGCCACAUUCUCCAUGAAUUUCUAAUCUAUCAGACAAAUAUGAGGAGAUGCAAAAAACAAAAAAAAAAAACAAAAAAAAUGCACUGGAACCAUGUCACAGAACCCAACUGCAUAACACCUUAUCCAAAUUAUAGACCAGCUUGGCUACCCUCACAGCCUCAACCUGCAUUUUUCAGACUUAACAACUUCACAUUAUACUUGAGCCUUCAACUUAAUCCAUUGCCAGACCAUCUCCAAGCACUCUCUCUCAUUUUAUGAUCAAUCAGCCACCUCCUAGCUUCUCACAAAUGUACCCAUUCCCAAUUGACUUCUUUUUAAUUUUCAAAACCAAAAUUCAAAAUAAACCUAUUGCAAAUGUAUUAUAUUAAUGAGACAGUAGAGCUAGUUUCCAUUUAGAAUUAAGUUCUAUACAAAGAAUUACAAUGCAUGAAAAAAAAAAAGACAAAGGAAAAAAUUAAUAAUAAGGGAAAAAAAAACCCUGGCAUUUAUGAAAAGAAAUUACAGUUCAUAAAAAGAUUAAAAUGAGAUAGAAAUUGAAGGCAUCCUUUGGUUAACAUUUCCAUGAAUACUCUUAUAUUUUUCAAACGCUAUAAUCCAAGUACUAACCAGAUAGUGCCUGAAUUGUAGAAUAGGAAUUCAAACGAGCACCCAUCUAGAUCACAAUUAGGUAGAUGAAAAACCAGAAUAAUGGGCCACAAAAGAGUAAACAAAUGAAACCUUUAGAUAUGUUUUUUGAAUGGAAAACCAAAUAAUAAAUCACAGCAAAAUCAAUACAGAUCUCCUCACAUUCAGAAACCAAAAUUAUCAAUAAUCUACUAGUCUCGGAUCCAAUUAGCCAAUAAGAAACAAUGCAGCAAAGAAAACCUUGUCAGAUCACACUCACAACUAGUCCACAGAAAACUAGGAACUAAAGUGAGGAAAGCAUUAAUGUACUCACGUAUUUUUUGCGGCCAUAGCCCUCUUCACCAUAACCGUACUUGCGAGGCUCAUCAUCAUCAUCGCGCCUCUCAUAAGCCGGCUUCUCGUAGCCCUCCUCUUCUUGCCCCUCAUUACUUGGCCUCCCAUAACUAGGCCUCCUCGGUGGCUCCUCCACCUCCGGACUCUCGUAGCUCGGCCUCCCAUACUGUGGCUUCCUGGGGGACCCUUCCCCACCAUAACCAUACCCGCCACCUUGUUCCUCUCCGAAGCUAGGUUUCCGACCGUACCCAGAUCCAUAUUCAGAACUCGGUGCUUCGUACUCAGGCCUCCGACCAUACCCAGAUCCAUACUCCGAACUGGGCUGCUCGAACUCGGGCCUCCGACCAUACCCAGAUCCAUACUCCGAACUAGGUUGCUCGUAUUCAGGCUUCCGACCGUACCCAGAUCCAUAUUCCGUGCUAGGCUGUUCGUAUUCAGGCUUCCGACCGUACCCAGAUCCAUAUUCCGAGCUAGGCUGUUCGUAUUCAGGCUUCCGACCGUACCCAGAUCCAUAUUCCGAGCUAGGCUGUUCGUAUUCAGGCUUCCGACCGUAGCCAGAUCCAUAUUCCGAGCUAGGCUGUUCGCAUUCAGGCUUCCGACCGUACCCGGAUCCGUACUCCGAACUGGGUUCCUCGUAAUCAGGCUUCCGCCCAUGCCCAGAUCCAUACUCACCCUCCCCACCAAAACUCGACGGCGGCUUCGGCUGAUACCCAUACUCACCACCAUCACCACUGCCUCCGAACCCUCCUUGGCCAGGAGGUGGUCCGGCGUAACCAAGGACCGGACGAGGCUUGGGACGAGCAUAGCUCUUGUAUUCAUUCUCAAGAGCUUCAUCACCGUAAGCCGAUGGUUCAGAGCAUGAUGUGUAGCUUGGGCGAUCGUAGUCUAUAUCACCGGACUUCGAGGAGAUCGGAUAGCAAGUCUCCUCCGACGGCUCCAAAGGGCGGCCAUAGAUGACCGUGAUGUCGUAGCCUCCACCAUACGGGGUCGGAUCGUACUCAUCG
This 3156-nucleotide long non-coding RNA is filed under the name Vitis vinifera (wine grape). Its description in RNAcentral is "long non-coding RNA (VVIN_LNC004905)". The record is from RNAcentral. Lineage: Eukaryota; Viridiplantae; Streptophyta; Magnoliopsida; Vitales; Vitaceae.